This 30-nucleotide small RNA is filed under the name Bombyx mori (domestic silkworm). RNAcentral's name for it is "piRNA piR-bmo-1713996". The record is from RNAcentral. Lineage: Eukaryota; Metazoa; Arthropoda; Insecta; Lepidoptera; Bombycidae.
UUCGUAAGUUUUUAUGCCCACUGCUGCAGC